AUGAGAAUAGAACCAGUGCACUGGGCAAGGGCAUAUUUUGCAGUUGGUUCCAACUGUGAGUCAGUGGAUAACAACUUGUGUGAAUCAUUCAAUCAUGCAAUUGUGGAUGUAAGGUUUUAUCCAUUAAUUUCCAUGCUAGAGAAAAUAAGGAAGAAAAUAUUUGCUAGAAUUCAAGAUCAGAGGGCCAAAGGUGUGAAGUUUCAUGGAAAAAUAUGCCCUAGCAUAUUCAGAAAGUUGAAAGCAAGCAUAGCGAGAACACAGUUCAUGGAGGUCCUUUGGAAUGGCAAAGAUGGGUUUGAAGUGAGACUGGUAACUGGGAGAAGAAGGCAAUACACUGUAAGUCUUGAAAAAAGAACUUGUUCUUGUGGUUAUUUCCAACUUUCAGGUCUUCCUCGUUCUCAUGCCAUAACAGCAAUAUACAAGUGUGGGAAACAAGUGGAAGAUUACAUUUAUCCUUGCUAUAGCAUUGACACAUUCAUGAGCAUUUAUUAG
This 492-nucleotide ribosomal RNA is filed under the name Triticum aestivum (bread wheat). RNAcentral's name for it is "partial small subunit ribosomal RNA". Lineage: Eukaryota; Viridiplantae; Streptophyta; Magnoliopsida; Poales; Poaceae. The record is from RNAcentral.